RNAcentral lists this transfer RNA (69 nucleotides) under Camelus bactrianus (Bactrian camel). It matches the Rfam family "tRNA". From Rfam's summary of the family: Transfer RNA (tRNA) molecules are approximately 80 nucleotides in length. Their secondary structure includes four short double-helical elements and three loops (D, anti-codon, and T loops). RNAcentral also lists the same sequence under 1 other name. Lineage: Eukaryota; Metazoa; Chordata; Mammalia; Artiodactyla; Camelidae. The record is from Rfam by way of RNAcentral.
GAGGGUGUAGCUCAGUAGUAAGUGUGCUUAGCUUUCAUAAGGUCCUGGGUUCAAUUCCCAGUACCUCCA